GUGUAUGGCCAUGCUACCCUGAACAAGCCCGAUCCCGGAAGCUAAGCAGGGUCGGGCCUGGUUAGUACUUGAAUGGAAGACCACCUAGGAAUACUAGGUGCUGUAGGCA
This 109-nucleotide ribosomal RNA is filed under the name Pteropus alecto (black flying fox). The record is from RNAcentral. Lineage: Eukaryota; Metazoa; Chordata; Mammalia; Chiroptera; Pteropodidae.